AGAUUCUUUAGUAUAAAUUAGUAUGUUUGAUUUCCAAUCAAAGGGUUUAAAGAAUUAA
Molecule: transfer RNA, 58 nt
Filed under: Chabertia ovina (large-mouth bowel worm)
Lineage: Eukaryota; Metazoa; Nematoda; Chromadorea; Rhabditida; Strongylidae
Description: tRNA-Gly
Source: RNAcentral